UGGCAUGUAGCUCAGAAGGUAGAGCAGCGCACUGUUAAUGCGCCGGUCCGGGGUUCGAGUCCCUGCUUGCCAGCCA
RNAcentral lists this transfer RNA (76 nucleotides) under Pseudomonas sp. AAC. RNAcentral's name for it is "tRNA-Asn". It matches the Rfam family "tRNA". From Rfam's summary of the family: Transfer RNA (tRNA) molecules are approximately 80 nucleotides in length. Their secondary structure includes four short double-helical elements and three loops (D, anti-codon, and T loops). The record is from RNAcentral. Lineage: Bacteria; Pseudomonadati; Pseudomonadota; Gammaproteobacteria; Pseudomonadales; Pseudomonadaceae.